GAGAGCAGAAUUUGGGCAGCAGUGGUCCUCAUCCAGUGUUUCUACAGUGCUAGCAGGAAAAGGCAGUGCCACCACUAUUGAGUUGGGGGAGACCUGGCCUGCUCCUUCCUUUGGCCUUCCUUUCCGUGACUGGACAAACAAAAAGCAACUUACCUUUGCAGAGUCAUAUUCAAAGAGCCUGUACAACCCUUAAUCUUAUUCUGGGCUUCAAGAUGAGUCAUUCCUUGUGCAUUUAUUCCAUCAAUGCUGAGAACCACAUCGCCUAU
Gorilla gorilla gorilla (western lowland gorilla) is the source of this 266-nucleotide long non-coding RNA. RefSeq lists it as uncharacterized. The transcript is spliced from 2 exons. The record is from RefSeq and is a predicted model, not a curated record. NCBI's taxonomy places the organism in Eukaryota, Metazoa, Chordata, Mammalia, Primates, Hominidae.